Molecule: transfer RNA, 77 nt
Filed under: Patescibacteria group bacterium
Lineage: Bacteria
Description: tRNA-Val
Rfam family: tRNA
About the family: Transfer RNA (tRNA) molecules are approximately 80 nucleotides in length. Their secondary structure includes four short double-helical elements and three loops (D, anti-codon, and T loops).
Source: RNAcentral
GCACGCAUAGCUCAGUUGGUUAGAGCGUCACAUUGACAUUGUGAAGGUCCGUGGUUCGAAUCCACGUGCGUGCACCA